UACGAAGGUCCCGAGCGUUAUCCGGAUUUAUUGGGCUUAAAGGGUGCGUAGGCGGGUUAUUAAGUCAGUGGUGAAAGCCUUCAGCUUAACUGAAGAAUUGCCAUUGAUACUGAUGAUCUUGAGUAUGAUUGAGGUGGGCGGAAUGUGUCAUGUAGCGGUGAAAUGCUUAGAUAUGACACAGAACACCGAUUGCGAAGGCAGCUCACUAAGCCAUAACUGACGCUGAUGCACGAAAGCGUGGGGAGCAAACAGG
RNAcentral lists this ribosomal RNA (253 nucleotides) under uncultured bacterium. Its description in RNAcentral is "partial 16S ribosomal RNA". It matches the Rfam family "Bacterial small subunit ribosomal RNA", at positions 524 to 776 of the family's 1533-position model. The record is from RNAcentral.